Molecule: long non-coding RNA, 1290 nt
Filed under: Coturnix japonica (Japanese quail)
Lineage: Eukaryota; Metazoa; Chordata; Aves; Galliformes; Phasianidae
Description: lncRNA (ENSCJPG00005003470.1)
Source: RNAcentral
AUGGGGCCUAUGUGGUUCUAUGGGUGUCUAUGGGGCUCUAUGUGGUGCUAUGGGGCUCCAUUGGGUUCUAUGGGGCUCUAUGGGGGUCUAUGGUGGUCUAUGGGGCUCUAUGGGGGUCUAUGGUGGUCUAUGGGGCUCUAUGGGGCCCUAUUGGGCGUCUAUGGGGCUCCAUUGGGUCUAUGGUGUUCUAUGGGGCUCUAUGGGUGUCUAUGGGUCCCUAUUGGGUGUCUAUGGGGCUCUAUGGGGUGUCUANGGGUGUCUAUGGGGCUCUAUGGGGUGUCUAUGGGGCUCUAUGGGGCCCUAUGGGGUGUCUAUGGGGCUCUAUGGGGCGCUAUGGUGCUCUGUGGGGCUGUAUGGGGUGCUAUGAAGCUCCAUUGGGCUCAAUGGGCGGUUAUGGUGUGUCUAUGGGGCUCUAUGGAGUGUCUAUGGGGUGAUAUGGGUGUCUAUGGGGUGUCUAUGGGGCUCUGUUGGGGUCUAUGGGGUGUCUAUAGGGGUCUGUGGGUUGUCUAUGGGGCUCUAUUGGGGUCUAUAGAGCUCUAUGGGGUGUCUAUGGGGGGAUAUGGGGCUCUAUGGGGCUCCAUUGGCUCUAUGGGGUUUCUAUGGGGCUCUAUGGGGCGUCUAUGGGGCUCCAUUGGGUCUAUGGGGUUUCUAUGGGCCUCUAUGGGGCCCUAUUGGGUGUCUAUGGGGCUCUAUGGGGCGUCUAUGGGGCUCCAUUGGGUCUAUGGGGUUUCUAUGGGGCCCUAUUGGGUGUCUAUGGGGCUCUAUGGGUUGUCUAUGGGUCUCUAUGGGGCCCUAUUGGGUGUCUAUGGGGCGUCUAUGGGGCUCCAUUGGGUCUAUGGGGUUCCUGUGGGGCUCUAUGGGGCGUCUAUGGGGCUCCAUUGGGUCUAUGGGGUGUCUAUGGGGCUCUAUGGGGCCCCAUUGGGUGUCUAUGGGGCUCUAUGGGGUGUCUAUGGGGCUCCAUUGGGUCUAUGGGGUUUCUAUGGGGCCCUAUUGGGUGUCUAUGGGGCUCUAUGGGGCCCUAUUGGGUGUCUAUGGGGCUCUAUGGGGCUCUAUGGGCCCCUAUUGGGUGUCUAUGGGGCUCUAUGGGGUGUCUAUGGGGCUCUAUGGGGCCCUAUUGGGUGUCUAUGGGGCUCUAUGGGGGCCUAUGUGGUUCUAUGGGGUGUCUAUGGGGUCUAUGGGGUGUCUAUGGGGCUCCAUUGGGCUCUAUGGGGCUCUAUGGUGCUCUAUGGGGUGUCUGUGGGGCAGUAUGGGGCUCUAUGGGGCUCCAUUGGGCUCAGUGGGGGGAUAUGA